Molecule: long non-coding RNA, 4933 nt
Filed under: Citrus maxima (pomelo)
Lineage: Eukaryota; Viridiplantae; Streptophyta; Magnoliopsida; Sapindales; Rutaceae
Description: long non-coding RNA (CMAX_LNC000053)
Source: RNAcentral
AACUUGGUUGUGGGUCCCGCACGAACCCACAGCCAAGCACUAUUCAUGUGAGGGCUGUACCUUACAGAAUCUGUAAGGUAGCCCUCUCCCUUGUCCGUCUAUAUGUAUAUAGAAAUCAGGUCGUGAAAAAUGCCGUCGACGAGUACGUGGAGUUUAAAAGAGUAGACAUUGGGAGAAACGUAUAUGGGUACGAGAGAAUGAGCGGAGGGCAUUUGCCUAGCCUACGUGGAACGAUAAACAUUCGCAACUGGUACGGGGUCAACGUCGGCCAGCAGGUCAGGUACGCGAGUGGUAGCGAUCAAUUGAUGUGGCGCACACAACAAACAGAACACAGUUAAUGGAUUUUCAAUUGGUUACGCUGCUCAUUUCAUUGUUGGAAUUUGGAAGCUAGUUCGUUUCCCAUCUUUCCCUGUCCAAGCGCCAAGCUGACAUGCAGACCCACAAGAAAUAGAAUCAUUUACGUUGGGGGGGGGGGGGGGGGGGGUCUUUAUUUUACACAUAAAAGAAGAAAGCAGCCGACAAAACAAGGGAAAUUUUGAAAGCCCUAGACUGAUUUUGCAAUUUUUGUUGUUUCAUUUGAUUGUACCUCCUAAAUCGAAGUUAAAACCGAUGACCCAUUAUUCACGUUUUCCUUUCCGAUUUAAUUAAUGUAUCUAAAUUAUUUGCUAUUACAUCAUGCAUGGUGUGCAUAUAUAUCUAUAUAUAUAUAUAUAUAUAUAUAUAUGAUGACGGAUAACCACCUUAUAUUAAUUUGAUUUAUGGUUUAGUAAUAAACGACCGACAAAAUUUGUGUUAGCAAUCUAAUGAAUUUACUUCGUUUUUGGUAGUUUGGCAAACGUUACUUUAGAUUAUAUUGAUGACGAUGGUGUAGCUAGAUAGCUAUGUUUAGGAGGGAGGCAUUCAACGGUUAGCAGUCAGUCCUGUUAAUAAUUAAGCAGCUAGAUAAUUGUGAGUUUUUCUUAUCCCUACUCAUUAAUGGAUACUCUCUAUAGUUAACAGCCAGACUUUUGAAUAUCAACAAGACAAUAACUCACCGCAUAUACGAAUCCAAAUUCGCUCAUUAAAUCUCCUUUCGAUGAUUGAUGUAGUCAUUGUUAAAUCUAGCACAGGCACAUGCUGUGCAUCCACGUGUGGCCACACGCUCUGAGAGAGACUGCCUGAAAGUGAAAUAUUUCUUCAGAAUCAAUUAAUUCUAGAUAGCCGAUACCGACUCAAUUAUGCCAAAUUAAUUCAAGUCCUCAUCGCAAAACGAAAACUGCUUUCCACAGUAAGUUGAUCCAGAUAGCCUAAGAAAUUAUUUGGUUUUAUUUUUCACAGAAUAGCCUAUGUGGAUUUAUAAGGAUUCAGGGUCUGGUAUUAUAAAAUAAACAUGUAAAAAAUAAAUCAUAUAACUACAUAUUUUGUGAGCAAUGUGGUCUAAAAAUUACAACUAAUACUUUUGAGUUACUUUAUAGUAAAUUGUAGCGGUAGCAAUAAAGAAUUAGACUCCGUUUGAUAUAAUUUUUCAAAUAUAAUUUAUUUAAAUAGAAUCUUCAUUAGUAGAGAUUUUACCAAAAUAAUUUUAAUUAUUUAAUUGUCAAUGAGAACUUUGAUUAAAAAUUGUUAAAUUACUUUGAUGUUAAUUUUUUAAAGUUAUGUUAUGAAAGAAAUGAAAUAAAAUUAUUAAAUAAGUAAAAGAUAUUUUAAAUAUUUUAAUAUUUUAAAAAAACUUUUCAAUCCCUACUCCUAAAAACCCAAAAUUUAAACUUUUGCCUGCAAAGAUAAAUAGUUUAUUUAGUCUUCAAAAACUCUGCUGAAAAAACAACCAACAAUAACAAAAAUCUUGAAAAGAACUUAUGAAAUUAAAUAAAUAUUUUUUACCAUUAGAUAAACCAUAUUAAAAAAGCACUUAAUCCCACAGCAGGAGUAGAAAGAAAGAAAUGAUUUUAACAAAACCAAAUAUUAUCAUGUCGCAUUGAUCAACCCAAGUCACCAAGACACCAUGUAAAUUCAAAAAUUGAGUGGAUAAGAAUCAUAUAUCUUAAUCUCCAAUUCUCCAUUAUUACUCUGGACAUGUCUAUGGUACAGAUUCUGUACCUAACAUCUCCCGUCAUCCCACCGUCCCAUUUUCUAUGGUUUAAUUUCUCACUCCACAUCCAACCUCAUCCAACGGCUGAUGCUGCAGUCUGUAGCUUACAGAUUCUGUAAGCUAGUUGAGUCCUAUUACACUAUUUUGAAAUUGCGGCUUCAAAAAUAUAUUGCCCAGCACUUUAAAUGUACCAUCUAAUUAACAACUCUGUAGAUGCUUCCCAUUUGUAGUUACCACCGGCUACGUAACAUUUGAAAAUAUUUUUGUGGCUAAUAAUGAAUUCAGAUGACUAUGAGCAAGGAGUCAUCUAGAAGUUUGAAGAUUGUCAAUGUCAUAUUAUGCAACAUGUGUAAUUUUACGACAUGUACGCUGUUAAGAAACUUAAUUAUAAGCAUUGGAUUUAAACAAAGUAUAGCUUAAUUAAUGCACCAAGGAAAGUAGUCGUAUACACUCACAAACUACUCGAUAGGCUGACACUUGUUAUUUACGAUAGAGGUAUUGUGAUAAGAUAAAAAAGACAAUAUUUGUAAGCAUUAUCUACUUCGCAAUUCCAGGACCACACGACUGAGAUAGAAGAUUAAGAAUCUUGACUGCAAUUAGUUGUAAUUAGUAUCAGUCAUCAUUAUUAUAUUGUCCCACUUUUUCCAUUGUAGUUGCCAUCUGUUUUGUCUAAUCUAUGAUUAUCCUGCAUUAUAGAGAUGUGCAAAAUAGGAGCUAAUAAGUUAAUCAGAGCUGUAGAUAAACAGAAGAUGUGAAUUACUAAAUGAGUUCACUUCUGUUAUCACCAAUUAUUACUUAUUUUGGAUUCUCAAAGUUACUAGCAUAAAUUCAAACAAUGCUCUACGUAUUGCAGCAACAUAAUUCAGAACAACGAUGCGAAAAUUCUGACUGUACAAUGUAACUAUUGAAGCAGAGAGAAACACUGUAAUGGGCAGAAAGCAGCUACAAAGAUACCUCUGAAGAAUAUAUGAAGAUCUGGACUACGAUCACUGCAGUGUUCCAUCAUGCAAGUUAACUCAAGGCACAUCAUGAAGAAAUAUAUAAACCCACAUGGAAACAUACGAUGAGAAGAUCACAAGAAGCAGUGAAAGGUUUCUCUUAAAGACCAAGGAGAUUUGUUUAAUUUUGUGAAUUAAUAGGUUUCAUAGUUCUAAUAUUUGAUAUAUGAAGUCUUAAGAAUUUGUUGACCACUUGUAAGAGUUGAUUCAGUCUCUUAUAAUUAAGUGAUCUCAUGUUCCUUCAGUAAUCAAUCAAAAAGAACGAUGACUUCAAACAUUUUUUUCAACAUAUAAAUUUCUCCAUUCAACUAAAGUCUUUUAUCUUUAGAAAAAAUUCUAACUAGUAUUGGUCACUGUACAUCUUAAUAAAGCAUAACCUCCUUUGCAAAAGUGAUAAAAAAAGAGUAGAAAAUAUCCAAUCUCAAACCUGCAAUCAAUCCCUAAUAAGAUUUUCUCAUACGAUCAUAACCAUUUUUUUUUUUUUUUUUGGGUUCUUGUACACAGGACAUGAAGUUGUACAACAAAAGUUUAAAGAAAACGAGAGUUAGCCAAUUAUGAACAUUAGGAUUUGAGCUUGUUUCCAGCAAUGUCACAUCACAUUCCGGUGGUUGAUCAAGCCCAAGUAAUACUAGAACUUCGUUGAGCUAAUUGCUUCCAAUAAUCAAGUCCUACAAAAUUAUAUGUAUUCUAAUCUCAUGUAGUAAAACAUCUCUGUAACUGACAAUUUGAAAUUUAUCUUGAUAAAUUUGGCUCUUACAAAAUAAACCUGAUCUUUUUCCAAAUGGAUUACAUUUUGACUAUCACAAAACACUGUCAUAACCUCUCAGAAAUGUUGAAUUUAUUAACUAUAAUAUAAAACAAGUAGGUUUCCUUCAUAAGUAAGGUCUUUGCCAUCCAUGACAAAGACACAGAAGAAUAUGACAUCGACCUUUCUCCACAGAAUCCCAGUUAGUAUAGACAUAAGAUUGUGCCCGAUAUACUUUUAUUAAAGACAGCAUAUGAUCUGAAUCUACAAAGCCAAUAACCUUCACAUGAGAUUCUUAAACAUUGUUCAUCUUAUACAUCAAUACUAAAUUUGGAGUACCAGAGCAUGCCAAUUGGGGAUUUGUCGGGAUGAUGUUUUAAGACAUUCCUAGUACUGUUUAUCUGAAGCAAAACUUGGAUCAUCAAGCCCAUACAUUCAAGCUUUUAAUUUCCAAAAAGCAGUCAUUUUUAACUCAACUUUCUAAGACUGUAUAGAAUCUUUAAAUUUCCAUUUUGAAUGGAACCCACUGUUCUGCAAUAGAAACUCUCGAGAGAUUGACUCAAAGUCUGAAGCAAAAGAAUGUAUGAGAAGAAUAAAGUCAUUAGCUACCCAAUCACCAUUUAAAAUUGGAACAGGAACAGGAACAGGAACCAGAACCAGCAACUACACCUAAAUAUAAAUGCAAUUCAGUAUGAAGCAGAUCAAAAUUAGUACAAGACAUAAAAUUUGACACGCUUGGGUUAGAAAUUCAUAACUCAACCCAAAACCUUCCAAAGGAAAUCCCUCGAGUUUAAACACGAUCAUAGGAAAUACAAAUAAAAUUCGAAAGUUGGGCUUGCCAUAAAAAUAGUAAGCUUACCUCUACUCUCUAGAGAACCGUCUGCUGUGGCUGAUUUGGCCAACGGCUAGUUCUUUCCCGCCUGCCUUUUCUCUUCUGCUCUAAAGUCGGGGGGAAGUUUACCGCAGACGGUUUUCAUCGUACAGUUUGUUAAGUGAUGGAUUUUUUUUGGGCCGUAAUGGGCCAGAGAACCGCACCCAACUGCAUUGUUUGAAAGAUUGUACUGUAUACUACUUGAAAACUGCACAGUAUCAGUAGGGACGGAGAUUGCCGCUUCCAAUUUU